GUAGCAUGUAAAGCUGGUAAAGAAACUAUCAGCUUUGAAUUCCGUGAUUUUCCCCUUAUAGGCUUGUGAAAGUAUUGAUUACAGCUGCAACAUCAGUGCUCUUUGAUUCUCUUUUCCAGGUAUUUUUUGGCCCUUUCUUUGAUGGUAAUGCUGUAGUCACCACGAAAUUCAUCCUUCCUGUACAGGCUAGAUAUGUGUUGUUCAAUCCACGAGAACCGUUGACUGUGUCCUCUAAUCAUCUAUGUCUGCGAGUGGACAUAGCAAGUUGUCAAAAUGUAUCACGACCCACAUCGAGUCCAACGCCAAGUCUUGUUCCGCCCUUCAAUACAACGAAAUCCACGGCACUGCCAUCAUUUACAGUGAAACCAACUUCUUCAGGUUUUACACCAGUAAUGUCAUCUUCAGUCGUGUCAACAGUGACUAUUCCUCCUCAUGUACAAAGGAUACUUGUUAGUCUACUUGGAUCUCUCACCCGAAUCAUACAGAGGCUUCAAGCACUCCUCGGAGGGUCACUUUCUCCUGCAGAUCUCGAUAACUUUCAAAGUGAGUAAACACUUAUUGCUCGAGUUAUGCAUCCCACUUUGAAAA
RNAcentral lists this unclassified non-coding RNA (588 nucleotides) under Orbicella faveolata. Its description in RNAcentral is "uncharacterized LOC110057501, transcript variant X1". The record is from RNAcentral. Lineage: Eukaryota; Metazoa; Cnidaria; Anthozoa; Scleractinia; Merulinidae.